Molecule: ribosomal RNA, 305 nt
Filed under: uncultured bacterium
Lineage: Bacteria
Description: bacterial SSU rRNA
Rfam family: Bacterial small subunit ribosomal RNA
Source: RNAcentral
CUUGCCUACGGGGGGCAGCAGUGGGGAAUAUUGCACAAUGGGGGAAACCCUGAUGCGGCGACGCCGCGUGAGUGAAGAAGUAUUUCGGUAUGUAAAGCUCUAUCAGCAGGGAAGAUAAUGACGGUACCUGAGUAAGAAGCCCCGGCUAACUACGUGCCAGCAGCCGCGGUAAUACGUAGGGGGCAAGCGUUAUCCGGAUUUACUGGGUGUAAAGGGAGCGUAGGCGGGAAGCCAAGUCAGCUGUGAAAACUACGGGCUUAACCUGUAGACUGCAGUUGAAACUGGCUUUCUUGAGUGAAGUAGAG